AUUGAACGCUGGCGGCAGGCCUAACACAUGCGAGUCGAACGGUAACAGGAAACAGCUUGCUGUUUCGCUGACGAGUGGCGGACGGGUGAGUAAUGUCUGGGAAACUGCCUGAUGGAGGGGGAUAACUACUGGAAACGGUAGCUAAUACCGCAUAACGUCGCAAGACCAAAGAGGGGGACCCUCGGGCCUCUUGCCAUCGGAUGUGCCCAGAUGGGAUUAGCUUGUUGGUGGGGUAACGGCUCACCAAGGCGACGAUCCCUAGCUGGUCUGAGAGGAUGACAAGCCACACUGGAACUGAGACACGGUCCAGACUCCUACGGGAGGCAGCAGUGGGGAAUAUUGCACAAUGGGCGCAAGCCUGAUGCAGCCAUGCCGCGUGUAUGAAGAAGGCCUUCGGGUUGUAAAGUACUUUCAGCGGGGAGGAAGGGAGUAAAGUUAAUACCUUUGCUCAUUGACGUUACCCGCAGAAGAAGCACCGGCUAACUCCGUG
Molecule: ribosomal RNA, 490 nt
Filed under: uncultured bacterium
Lineage: Bacteria
Description: partial 16S ribosomal RNA
Rfam family: Bacterial small subunit ribosomal RNA
Source: RNAcentral